Molecule: long non-coding RNA, 1339 nt
Organism: Oxyura jamaicensis (ruddy duck)
Lineage: Eukaryota; Metazoa; Chordata; Aves; Anseriformes; Anatidae
Exons: 3
Source: RefSeq, a predicted model, not a curated record
GUGUGUAGUUACAGAGGGAUGUACUUUCAUCUAUGGAAACAAUUAGAGGUGGCUGAAAGAACAGAAAAACUCAUCUCUCAGCAAAAGCAGCCAUAUGUAGCGAUUAUGUUGUUUGAAGAGAAAAUGACUAAAACUGCAUUUAAUCAGAAGAAAGGAAAAAGUAUAUCACUUAUUUUGGAGUUCAGUCUGUUGGACCUUGUACUUCUUGCUCUCAGAAGAGGUUCAACAAAUUCCUGCAAUCCUCAAGAGGUGUGCAUGUGAGAAUAAAGUGGACCAUAAUAACAGAUAACAGAACCAUAUGAGAGAGGAGAAGAAAAUGGAUGGAUGCCAGGUUUAUUUACAAGCAGUCUAAUCUCCCUAACAAGUCUCCCAAAUCAUUAAUCUGGUUCAGAAUACGAAGGAUACUCAAUUAUUCAAUGAAAAGGUUAAGUCUGUGGUAAAUAUGCAUAGUCAGUAAUGAAGUGUACUUCCCCUGGGUAUUUUUUAAAAGGAUGCAGACUGACAGUUGUUUACCACAUCCUUUCUGGAUAUGUUUUCUGAGGUUUUUGUUUGCGACACUGCUUAUGCUUAUUCUCAAAAUGCAGCUCCUUGGCUGCUUUGCUCUAUUGAAAUUGUAACUGGGUGAUAGUGAAGUAAGUCAGCCAUGAAAAUGUAUGUGUAUCCAAAUCAAGGCAAUAAUUCCCACAACAUUUUUGUGUAACUCUGAGUACCCUGCUACAUGGGAAGUGUCAGGGUACAGCCCACCUAACUUUUCUAGAUCCAGGCUUACAUCCAUCCUUCCAUCUGUCCGUCUGUCUCUUUGCUUUGAUUUUCAGUUUUUCUGCUAUAUGUUCCUUGGUAUUUUGCCCAUAGCUAUCAGUGCACACAUACAGAGGAACUUAUAACUAUGGCACUGUUGUCAUUUUUGGCUUUGGAGCUUUGAUUCAAGCUCUUUUAUAUCUUCAUUAGUGGCUGCAGGUUUGUUCUGUUAAUGAAAACAUUUGCAGAAAAACUAGGAUUGCAAACUGAUAAAUUACUUGACUAAAGAUAGCCCCUACCUUUAACCAACACUAUUUCCAUCAACGGCUUGCCUUGAGUGUUAAUUUCUAAUGCGUGAGUGGAAACAUAUCAUAUUAUGUUCCUGGAGAGGCAACACACGUGUUGCAGUGCAAGAUGAAGUUUUGUGCACAACAUCCAUAUAGCACUGGGGUCUUCCCCAGGGAAAAGCACAAUGUUCCAGUGCCCUCUUAGCCCCAGGCAGGUAUCUUGCAGAAACCAGCUCCAACAGUCAGAGCACUGCUGUGAGCUCUCAGUCAAGAGCCAACAAUUUGCAAAUGUCAAUUUUUGCUGUGCUCAGGGG